UACGCUAAUACCGCACACGAUCCACGGAUGAAAGUAGGGGACCUUCGGGCCUUAUGCUUUUGGAGCGGCCGAUAUCUGAUUAGCUAGUUGGUGAGGUAAAGGCUCACCAAGGCGACGAUCAGUAGCUGGUCUGAGAGGACGACCAGCCACACUGGAACUGAGACACGGUCCAGACUCCUACGGGAGGCAGCAGUGGGGAAUUUUGGACAAUGGGCGCAAGCCUGAUCCAGCAAUGCCGCGUGAGUGAAGAAGGCCUUCGGGUUGUAAAGCUCUUUUGUCAGGGAAGAAACGGGGUUGGCUAAUAUCCAGCCCUAAUGACGGUACCUGAAGAAUAAGCACCGGCCAACUACGUGCCAGCAGCCGGGUAAUACGUAGGGU
Molecule: ribosomal RNA, 378 nt
Filed under: Acinetobacter baumannii
Lineage: Bacteria; Pseudomonadati; Pseudomonadota; Gammaproteobacteria; Moraxellales; Moraxellaceae
Description: bacterial SSU rRNA
Rfam family: Bacterial small subunit ribosomal RNA
Source: RNAcentral